GGGGGUGCCCUGGUUUCGACGGGAGAAGAAUUUGAUGUGCGGGCGUGUCCAGGAUGAUCACUAGGCCUGGUAAAAAAUGUGAUCACAAGUUAUUUGAAAACAAUAACUACGCUCUAGCAGCUUAAUUGCCGCUGGUGAGGGGCCUGCACCGAUAACAAAAAGCAGGUAAAGAGAGUCGGUGGUCUCUCGUAAAAAAAAGCCACCUUCAGAUCAGUCGGUACACUGAAUAAAAAAGAACCGAGGUUUCGUCCAUUUUACAAAGGUGGGCUAGUGCUGCUGUCGCACUAUAACUUGAAAGCUACACACGUAGUCCGUCAUCUUUGACUUUUUUCGGACGCGGGUUCGAUUCCCGCCACCUCCACCA
RNAcentral lists this transfer-messenger RNA (364 nucleotides) under Bacteriovoracaceae. Its description in RNAcentral is "JAGOVR01 sp018060635 Standard tmRNA". It matches the Rfam family "transfer-messenger RNA". Rfam says of the family: Bacterial tmRNA, also known as 10Sa RNA or SsrA, is named for its dual tRNA and mRNA-like properties. Its role is to liberate the mRNA from a stalled ribosome. RNAcentral also lists the same sequence under 1 other name. Lineage: Bacteria; Pseudomonadati; Bdellovibrionota; Bacteriovoracia; Bacteriovoracales. The record is from RNAcentral.